Molecule: long non-coding RNA, 4275 nt
Organism: Solanum lycopersicum (tomato)
Lineage: Eukaryota; Viridiplantae; Streptophyta; Magnoliopsida; Solanales; Solanaceae
Source: RefSeq, a predicted model, not a curated record
UUAAUAAAGAAAAGAAAAUAUAAAAAAAUUACAAUUUCUAACGUGGUGCUGAUGUGGCAGCGAGUAUAACAUACCAUAUACUAUGAGAGUGGUGCUAUGCUUCUCAAGGUGGUAUUAAAUUUGUUGACACCCAUUUUGUACCCAGCCUAUUCCUUUACCUACUUAGGCCCAACAUCCAUCCCAUUUCUAUUACUAAUCCUGGCCCCACCCCUCUUAAUUUUCAGCCCAACUCCCCUCCAGCCCAACACACUUCAGCAGCCCACCCUUUCAAGCAACCCAAACAAUCCCAGGCCCAUCCCAAUAACCCCUUAACCUGACCCCAUCCCAACUCCCCUUCUUCUUCCCAACAUCCACACCACCAGAAAACGCAGAAAAGAGCAGAACCCAAAAACGCAAAACCCCUCUCUCACCCGCGUCUUCCCCCACGCUCUCUCCCCCUCUCCCAAACCCCCUCCCUCGCGCGAACCCAACGUGAGCCAAUCGCGUACGCUUCUCUCUCCCUCGCGCAGAAACCCCCUAGACGCAAACGCAGGAGAGACAGAACCUCCCAGACGCGAAAUUAAUUCCCCAGAAAUCGUCAAAAUUCCCAAAACUCACGCGCAAGGAGUUCUCAGAAGAUGCCCAGCCUGGUUUGUCUUCUUCUUCGCGUGUCCCCGACGUCGCGCGUCUCCUUCCCUCUCUCUUCGCGCUCGUACGAGCGCACAGUGGAACAGUAGCCGUCCUCGCCUCAACAGCCUGGAAUCGUCCUGCUCGUCCUUGCAACAACGAGAUGAUGACACGAAGCGCGCAAGGACAACGAACGCAUCCCGACCCUCCACCUCGCCAUCAACCCGUUUGAAUGGGAUAUUCUGAAGCAUCUAAUCGGUACAUUCCAAAAUUUCGGAUAAGAUUUUGGGAUUUUUGAAUUUCGAAUUAGCAGAUGGGCCGAAAAUUCCCUCAAGCCCUUUUACCUUUCGAAAACCUAGCCUCCCUCUAUAAAUAUCCUCUCCCUCAAACGUUGAGGGGGUUGAAAAUUUUGGAAGUCGAAUUUUUGUUUGGAUUUUUUUCUUGUAUCACAGCAGGUCCUUUCCUUUCUGGAAAUUUUGGUUGUUUCUAAGUUCAUAUCGUAUAACAAAGCAAGUGUCCCGUCUCUCUUUUUUCGAAUUUUCUAUCGAGCUUCGAACGUGGAGAUAUUUGGAUCUACACAGUCUCUUUGCUUUUCAUCGCAUCUGUACUGCUCAUUGGAGCUCUUAAACUCGCGUCGUGGUGGAAGUCAUUGUUGAAGUCGCUGCUCGUAGCCGUUCCAGUAUCGCUGCCCAGGAAAAGGUAUACAACUUCGCUCCUCUUAGUUUUGUUUGGUUUUCUACUUGUUCGAGUAUGUAGUGGUUCGUUCAGUUGGUUAUGUCGUGCUGAUAGUUUUCUGAAGGAUGAUGGUUCUUUGUGUUUUAAGGCUGUUGGUUAGUUGUCUAUGGAAUAGGAGAUAAGCAUGUACGUGCAGUCAAUGUAUGUCUCGAGUUUACUUCCUAGUUCGAAUCUUAUUGUUCUUGGUAUAUUUUGGGUUUCAUAGCUACAUUCGGUAUAGUUUUUUUUAGAUCAUUCUUUCAUCUUGAUUUAUUUUUAUUCAUUGUGGUUCUUCAAUAUUGUUUGAUAUUCGGCAUCGUAUCGUUAUUUCUUUCGCCUCGAGUUUAAUGAGCGAACUAAGAUGCCAACAUUCUGAAUCUAAGCGACUGCAUCUGCUAUCGUUUUGAGUUCCCAUAUCGCAUAUUAUUGUUCAUGUUGGUACUUUGGGUUAGGCUGUCCUAUAGGGUUUGCUCGAUAAUGGUAUUACCUUCUGUUUGAUCUCUUAAUGUUGUAAAGUUGAGUUUCUUUCCGUUGAUUUAGAUUUCAUUUGUUUAUCCAUCAAGCCUUCAAAUAGGCCUUUGUCAGUAUGUUUUGUGGUUUCUCUGAACUUGUCGGUUAAGAAAGUAUGUUUGUUCAUAUGUGUUCUGUAUCUAUGUUAUAUAGUAAUUUCCUCGUUUUAUUUCUUCCAUAUGACAAAUGAGUCAGUUUGCUUAUUCGGAAUCUCGUUUAGAGUCCUGUUUGGUCCCGUUUCUGUUGUGCUCGCUAUCAUUCUUUAUGUUGGAGCUUUGGUAGUCUGUGUUGUUUCUUGCAACUACUCACUACGGAAUACCAACUAGGCUUGUUCAAUGCCUUGUUUGGCUCCUUUGAGUUUGGCGUUUAUCGCUUUCAAAUUAUAAGUGAGUUUGAACUAUCUGUGGCUCGGGUCAGAUUCUCAUGUUUAUUUGGUUUGGUUUAGACUUUUGAAGAUCUCACCUGAUGUUGGUAGCAAAAUUUUACGUAUAGUUGAGGAUGAAAGAGCAUAGUUGUCAAUUUGGUGAUUUGAGCUACUGUUUGUUUGCUACUUCAGCAUGAUGCAAAUCCCUGAAUGUUAAUUUAUUCACGUUCUGGAAUGUUUCAUUAUUUGCUGUUUGUAUUUGGUAUGGCUUUUGCAUGUUGGGAAAAUCUAAUGACUCUUAAAAGUUAGUGUGUUUGCUAAUCUAUUCGGCUUUCUUCAGAAUCGUAUGUUUAUUUAUUUUGUUUCAUUCGAAAUACAUCUGAUUUAUUUUGUCGUUGUGUAUACAACUUCGCUCCUCUUAGUUUUGUUUGGUUUUCUACUUAUUCGAGUAUGUAGUGGUUUGUUCAGUUGGUUAUGUCGUGCUGAUAGUUUUCUGAAGGAUGAUGGUUCUUUGUGUUUUAAGGCUGUUGGUUAGUUGUAUAUGGAAUAGGAGAUAAGCAUGUACGUGCAAUCAAUGUAUGUCUCGAGUUUACUUCCUAGUUCAAAUCUUGUUUUUCUUGGUAUAUUUCGGGUUUCAUAGCUAUAUUUGGUAUAGUUUUUUUUAGAUCAUUCUUUCAUCUUGAUUUAUUUUUAUUCAUUGUGGUUCUUCAAUAUUGUUUGAUAUUCGGCAUCGUAUUGUUAUUUCUUUCGCCUCGAGUUUAAUGAGCGAACUAAGAUGCCAACAUUCUGAAUCUAAGCGACUGCAUCUGCUAUCGUUUUGAGUUCCCAUAUCGCAUAUUAUUGUUCAUGUUGGUACUUUGGGUUAGGCUGUCCUAUAGGGUUUGCUCGAUAAUGGUAUUACCUUCUGUUUGAUCUCUUAAUGUUGUAAAGUUGAGUUUCUUUCCGUUGAUUUAGAUUUCAUUUGUUUAUCCAUCAAGCCUUCAAAUAGGCCUUUGUCAGUAUGUUUUGUGGUUUCUCUGAACUUGUCGGUUAAGAAAGUAUGUUUGUUCAUAUGUGUUCUGUAUCUAUGUUAUAUAGUAAUUUCCUCGUUUUAUUUCUUCCAUAUGACAAAUGAGUCAGUUUGCUUAUUCGGAAUCUCGUUUAGAGUCCUGUUUGGUCCCGUUUCUGUUGUGCUCGCUAUCAUUCUUUAUGUUGGAGCUUUGGUAGUCUGUGUUGUUUCUUGCAACUACUCACUACGGAAUACCAACUAGGCUUGUUCAAUGCCUUGUUUGGCUCCUUUGAGUUUGGCGUUUAUCGCUUUCAAAUUAUAAGUGAGUUUGAACUAUCUGUGGCUCGGGUCAGAUUCUCAUGUUUAUUUGGUUUGGUUUAGACUUUUGAAGAUCUCACCUGAUGUUGGUAGCAAAAUUUUACGUAUAGUUGAGGAUGAAAGAGCAUAGUUGUCAAUUUGGUGAUUUGAGCUACUGUUUGUUUGCUACUUCAGCAUGAUGCAAAUCCCUGAAUGUUAAUUUAUUCACGUUCUGGAAUGUUUCAUUAUUUGCUGUUUGUAUUUGGUAUGGCUUUUGCAUGUUGGGAAAAUCUAAUGACUCUUAAAAGUUAGUGUGUUUGCUAAUCUAUUCGGCUUUCUUCAGAAUCGUAUGUUUAUUUAUUUUGUUUCAUUCGAAAUACAUCUGAUUUAUUUUGUCGUUGUGUAUGCUAAUGUAUUUCUACUUGUUUGCAUGGAAAAUCUUCUCUCGAGUCCAUUGUGAGGCUCCCCUUCUCCUCUUUGCAUUUCAAGAGGGAGCCAUAAAGGCUCUAAAUGUCUUUCAUCGAGUCAAUUCAUCAAAACCGGCGUAUGAAGUUAAAUUCAGAAGUGUCGUGAAGAGUGAAGAGAUUUGAAGGAGACGGAUAUGAAGACCUUUUCUUUAUUUUUAUGUUAUAUUUUACUUUGUAAUGGGCAUAAGCUCUUGUCCUUUUUAUCUUUCUUGUAACCAUUUAUGUGUUUAGAUUAGGACAGGUGAACGGGUUAAAAACCCAAAAGCAGGUGGGUCCAACAUUCGGUCAAGGCGGACAGAACCGAAGUUGGACCCAAAUCUCUCCCUCUC